UUAAUUCCCAACUACCCCCAAACCUUAGUCAAAGUAGUCAUUUUUUACAUACAGUAGCCUUUGUAUUACCCCCCCCCCCUCUCUCUCAGACUCCAUCGAACCCUAACCGCCGCCAUCAAACUACAACCCUAAAUCCAUGGCUUCCAAGGUCACCGGAGACCUGUAUCAACCCCCAUGGCUUCUAUGUGUUCGAUUCUUAUGGUCUCAAGGCUAGAUCUUGAAAGAGUUUGGUCCAGACCCUGUUCGAUUUUAGUUCAUGGAUGUUCUCUGGUCGUCUCUGACCUUUCACCAACCAGACAUGGCUAGUCGAGUUAGACUUUGACUCUCCGGCUUAGAUCGAUGGUUUUCAAAGCCUUUUUCAUCACUUGGGUUCCUUCUGAAACCCUAACCUCUAAAGGUUCUUUCGAUUUCUCUUAGAUCUGUUUCAGAUCUAUGUUUGCUCUAGACUUAUGUGUUUUGCUUUAUGUUUUUUUUAAAACUCUACCUUCAAAACCUCUUAUCUUUUCCGAUCAGAGUUUUGUUAAGUUAUUUCAAAUAGUUCUCUGGUUUUUCUUAACAUGUCUUUCUAUGUUUGCUCAUAUCGUUCUUCUACUUGAGUUUUCAUGUUAAAGCCCUAAUUUCUUUUGACUGUUUAUUAGAGGAAUGUUUGUUUGCUUGAGUUUAUCAUAUUUGUUUGUUUAUCCAUCCUUAAAAUUCUUCUAUUGCUGAAUAUCCUAUGGCUUUGAGUCUGAGACUAUUAGUUUAAGUGCAUGACUCAAUUUGAAGUUCUUAAUUUUGAAACAUUUUGCUCCUUUGUGUGAUUCUUCUUAUUCUGAGUUUCUAUCAUCUCUAAAUCUUGAUUAUGUUCGAAACCCUAUAGGGGGUUUUCCUCACCUACUACUGUGAGAUUUUCACAUGCUUUUGAUAUUCUAUGUUUCUUCACUACUGUUUUAGCUAACCAUCAUGCUUCGAGUGUUGCUAUCUAUUGAAUUUUCUUUUUGUGCUACUAUUGCAUGCUAUUUCCUCUUUCCAACAGGCUUGGCCUCGCAUAUAUAAUGUUUAUGCACCCUAUUUAUAUGCUGAGUCUCCUUCUUUGACUGAUUUUCAAACUUGUGACUAAUUUCAAACUUUUCCUUUGUGAAAUUAUAAUUUCACUUGCCCGUUAAAGUUAACUGAUUUCUUUUCCUAUUUGUCUUACUGAAUCCUUUCCAAUAUUAGAGUAUCUGUGAAUCUAGACUCGAUUACUAGCUAAAUAUCUUACUACUUCUUUUAUGGCAACUGUCAACCUGCUGACAAAUUGAUUUCUUUUCUUGUUUUAAACCCGUCAGUGCCCGUUAAGCAAGUGCUCCCUUAAUUAAAGAGAGUCACUUGUAUAAUUGAUUCUGAACCAUGAUUGUUUCCAUGUUUAUGACUUGUAACUCUCUCUCACUUGCUUUAAAAGAAAGACUAUAAUUACCCUAUACUUCUUCUGUUUCAAGACACGAAUACAAGUCAUAAACAUUUGAGUUUAAACACACACUACACUAAAGCUCUCUUCUCUCUCUCUCUCUCUCUCUCUCUCUCUCUCUCUCUCUCUCUCUCUCUCUUCUCUACUAU
This 1575-nucleotide long non-coding RNA is filed under the name Nicotiana benthamiana. RNAcentral describes it as "long non-coding RNA (NBEN_LNC024356)". The record is from RNAcentral. Lineage: Eukaryota; Viridiplantae; Streptophyta; Magnoliopsida; Solanales; Solanaceae.